RNAcentral lists this non-coding RNA (31 nucleotides) under Homo sapiens (human). The record is from RNAcentral. Lineage: Eukaryota; Metazoa; Chordata; Mammalia; Primates; Hominidae.
UGGAGAAUUAGAAUAUGAGGUGGAGAAUUCA